GAUGAACGCUGGCGGCGUGCCUAAUACAUGCAAGUCGAGCGAACAGACAAGGAGCUUGCUCCUCUGACGUUAGCGGCGGACGGGUGAGUAACACGUGGAUAACCUACCUCUAAGACUGGGAUAACUUCGGGAAACCGGAGCUAAUACCGGAUAAUAUAUUGAACCGCAUGGUUCAAUAGUGAAAGACGGUUUUGCUGUCACUUAUAGAUGAAUCCGCGCCGCAUUAGCUAGUUGGUAAGGUAACGGCUUACCAAGGCAACGAUGCGUAGCCGACCUGAGAGGGUGAUCGGCCACACUGGAACUGAGACACGGUCCAGACUCCUACGGGAGGCAGCAGUAGGGAAUCUUCCGCAAUGGGCGAAAGCCUGACGGAGCAACGCCGCGUGAGUGAUGAAGGUCUUCGGAUCGUAAAACUCUGUUAUUAGGGAAGAACAAAUGUGUAAGUAACUAUGCACGUCUUGACGGUACCUAAUCAGAAAGCCACGGCUAACUACGUG
Molecule: ribosomal RNA, 497 nt
Filed under: uncultured bacterium
Lineage: Bacteria
Description: partial 16S ribosomal RNA
Rfam family: Bacterial small subunit ribosomal RNA
Source: RNAcentral